ACCAGCGAAAAGUUCCCUUAAUUUUUGUUCAUCUUAAAAAGUAUUUCUCCUUCAGUUUUGCGGGAUAAUUUUGCAGUGUACAGAGUUAUGGGUUGGUGGCAUUUUUUCUCUCAACAUUUUAAAUAUUUCAUUCCACUCUCUUCCUGCUUGAUUGGUUUCUGAAGAGAAGUUGGAUGUAAUUCUUAGCUUUGCUUCUCUGUAGGUGAGGUGUUUCCCCCCCCCCGGCUUCUUUCAGGAUAUUUUUGCCUUAUUUUUUACUUUUCUAUAGUUUGGAAAUCACAUGCCCAGGUAUAGUUUUCUUAACAUUUAUCCUGGUUGGUGUUCUCCAAGCUUUCUGGAUCUGUUGUUUGGUAUCUGAUGUUAAUUGGGGGAAUCCUUAGACAUCAUUAUUUCAAAUAUUUCUUCCUCUUCUUCUUCCUCUUCUGAUAUUCCCAUUACACAUGUGUUACAACUUUGGUAGUAGGAGCAGUUGUUGUAUGUUCUGUUUUGUUUUCAGUCUUUGUUCUUUUUGCUUUUCAGUUAUGAAGAUUUCUAUUGAGAUAUCUUCAUGUUCACAGAUGUUUUUCCUCUGUUGUGUCCAGUUGACUAACAAGCCCAUCAAAGGCAUUCUCCAUCUCUGUGACAGUGUUUCUGAUCUCUUGGAUUUCUUUCUGAAUCCUUAGAAUUCUGUCUCUGCUUCUAUCGCCCAUCAGGUGCACACUGUGUACUUUCUCCAUUAGACCUCUUAGCACAGGUGUUUUAAGUUCCUGGUCUGAUAAUUUCAACAUCUCUGCCGUAACUGAGUUUGGCUUGGAUGCUAGCUCUCCCUCUUCAGGCUGUACUUUUUCCUUUUAGUACGUCUUGUAAAUGUUUUCCUUGUCAAACAUGAUGUUGGUAGAAGGAACUGGAAGAAGGAAGUGCUUGAGUAAGCUUUUAGUAAUGUGGUGGUGUGUGGAAGAAAAGGAAGCUUUUUAUAGUCCUAUAAAGGUCUCAGUCUUUUAGUGAGGCUGUGCCCUGCACUGUGUAGUUUACACAUGCUUUUUAUUUUCCCUGCCCCCACCCUCCCAACCCUGGGUGGGACAGGAUAGCUAGAGUAAACCAGAGUUGAAUAUUUUCCUUCUCUUUCUUGGAAAGCUAGAGGGGGGCUGUAAUUGGAUAUUUUCCUUCCUUCCUGUGGAAGGCUACAGCCAGUCGAAGUUGGGUAUUUCCCUUCCUCCAAAUCAAUUAGGCUCUGAUAAGCACCAGCAGGUUAGGCUCUAGUUACAUAGUUUCUUCUGAGGGCAGACCUUGUUAAGUAAAAACAGAAUGCUCUGGAGUAUUUCAAAAUGGUUCCUUUUCCCUUCUCCCUGCCAGAAGCAUGAGGGAAUUCGCCGCCCCCUCCCCCCCAUACUCACUGUAAGCACCUAGGAAAGCUCCCGGAGGAAAACCCAAAAAGUAUGGGGCCCUCCUCUGACCGGGUUUGGAGUUUUUAACUCUCAGACUUUUCCACGCUGAGACUUCAGCAAUUCUGUCAAUUAUUGCUCAGGUUUUCUUACGCUGGCUCUGGUUCCUGUGCAACACGCUGCUCGUAAAUUUCUGCUUGAGCUUCCUUCUGGAAAAUAAAACUGGUGAUGAAGAAUUUGUUUCGUCCUUCGGAUUUCUCCCAUUUACUGUGAAUCGGAUAUAAGCAAAGAGCUGAAGGAUAUAAGAGAACGGUCUCUAUGUGGUCUGUAUCUUUUGCAGUGAUACAGCUAUGCCCCAGAGAGAUUCUGUAAUUUAUACUAAGAAUAAGAACCAAUAAGAAGUUCUUGAGUCAUCAAUGAGGUCAUGGUUAAGAGUGCGUACAUGCCACGAGAAGUGAUUGAAAAUGUGGGUCAGUGGCGAUGUGGGGUGUUAGGUAGACUGGAACACUAAAAGGAGGAAUGAGUACAGAAAAAAAAUGAAUUGUACAGUCUUUCCUUUCUGACAUCUUUGCCCACUCACUGACCACAAGACGACUUUGUUUUUUUCAGAUACCAUGAAGAAAAAGAAUAUUUGCAUAUUUGAUGUUUACCUGAUCACUAGACAAUACUAUUUAUCCAAAACCAUUUAGAGUUCAGUCAAACCAGUAGCCAGAAUUUAAGGGAUAUAAUUUGUUUUAAGGGAAGUGACAGCUGAUUUCAUCAAAACCAUCUUUAUCUGAUUGAAUUGACUUUCUAAAUAAUAUAUGAGUUUUCAAACCUCUGAGACAAGAAAGCAGUUUGGUCUUCUUAAAGAUUUUAUUGAUUUAUUUGACAGAGAGAGCACAAGCAGGGGGAGUGGCAGGCAGAGGGAGAGGGAGAAGCAGGCUCCCUGCUGAGCAAGAAGCCUGAUGUGGGCUUGAUCCCACAUGACCUGAGCCUAAGGCAGAGGCUUAACCAACUGAGCCCACAGGUGCCUAAGAAGGCAUUAUUAAUAAAAGCAUAUUUUGAGAAAUGUAUCUUGGUGGCUUUCAAAACCUGGCUACACUAUAAAAUCAUUUGAAGAGCUUCACAAGUAAGUGUAUAUGAGAAUCAGCUAUUAAACUGAUUUGAAAAUAUUACUUGUACUUCUAGCAUACUGGCAAGUUUUCAGUUAAAAUUGAGAGAAUUCAACUUACAUUUAGGACUUUAUGUUUUGAGUCACUGAGCAGCUUUUGUUAUUAAUGCUUAGAAAUUAUUAAUAGCAAUAAACAGAUAAUACUCCUUGUGUAAUAACUGAGUCAAGACAGAGUUAAUGGGCAAAAUUCUUGAAAAUAUCUUUCAUGAUAUAUUAGUUAUACUAACUCUUUAUGAUAUAUUAGGAAAGUUAAGAGAGUUGGACAAGCAAUCAUAGACAUUUUUGAAAGAGAAAAUCAUAGUUAGAAAGCAAAAUAUGUCUUAAUCUCAAACUAUCUUUUGAAGCAUUCUUUGCCAUGAUAAUAUAGCCCAUGAUUUACUUUAUAAAAUGCUUUAGUUCCUUU
Long non-coding RNA from Ailuropoda melanoleuca (giant panda), 2917 nucleotides. RefSeq lists it as uncharacterized. The transcript has 3 exons. NCBI's taxonomy places the organism in Eukaryota, Metazoa, Chordata, Mammalia, Carnivora, Ursidae. The record is from RefSeq and is a predicted model, not a curated record.